Arvicanthis niloticus (Nile rat) is the source of this 130-nucleotide small nucleolar RNA. RefSeq annotates it as small nucleolar RNA SNORA17. NCBI's taxonomy places the organism in Eukaryota, Metazoa, Chordata, Mammalia, Rodentia, Muridae. The record is from RefSeq and is a predicted model, not a curated record.
CCUUCCCCUAGAGGCAUUGCAGGUGUGGCUGCUGUGUCACAACUGUGCCAGUAGAUGGCAGAGGAGAGAGGUUAUGUCUACCCUCAGUGUUCUGACCUAUGAACAUCUGAAUUAUUAGUAGUCUAACAUU